RNAcentral lists this ribosomal RNA (530 nucleotides) under Cryptosporidium meleagridis. Its description in RNAcentral is "partial 18S ribosomal RNA". It matches the Rfam family "Eukaryotic small subunit ribosomal RNA", at positions 575 to 1100 of the family's 1831-position model. Lineage: Eukaryota; Apicomplexa; Conoidasida; Eucoccidiorida; Cryptosporidiidae. The record is from RNAcentral.
CGCGAUAACCCACGCCCCACAAGAGGAGUAUAAAAAUGUUGCCGCAGUAAAAAAAGCCGGGGGGGGGGUUUCGGUUUUGAUAUUUAAUAAAAUAUUUUUUGACAAAUUUUUAAUAUAAUAUCAACAUUCUUCAUAUUAUUUUUUUUUUUAGUAUAUGAAAUUUUACUUUGAGAAAAUUAGAGUGCUUAAAGCAGGCAUAUGCCUUGAAUACUCCAGCAUGGAAUAAUAUUAAAGAUUUUUAUCUUUUUUAAAUUGGGGGACAGUUGGGGGCAUUUGUAUUUAACAGUCAGAGGUGAAAUUCUUAGAUUUGUUAAAGACAAACUAAUGCGAAAGCAUUUGCCAAGGAUGUUUUCAUUAAUCAAGAACGAAAGUUAGGGGAUCGAAGACGAUCAGAUACCGUCGUAGUCUUAACCAGAAACUAUGCCAACGAGAGACGGAGGGUUUUUUUUAUUCAACAAAGAGAACAGUCCCCGUCGUAUCUAUCACUCUACUACUACCGCCAGUAGGGAGGGGGGGGGUGGACCACUACU